Molecule: ribosomal RNA, 253 nt
Filed under: uncultured bacterium
Lineage: Bacteria
Description: partial 16S ribosomal RNA
Rfam family: Bacterial small subunit ribosomal RNA
Source: RNAcentral
UACGAAGGGGGCUAGCGUUGCUCGGAAUCACUGGGCGUAAAGCGCACGUAGGCGGAUUGCUAAGUCAGGGGCGAAAUCCUGGAGCUCAACUCCAGAACUGCCUUUGAUACUGGCGACCUUGAGUCCGGGAGAGGUGAGUGGAACUGCGAGUGUAGAGGUGAAAUUCGUAGAUAUUCGCAAGAACACCAGUGGCGAAGGCGGCUCACUGGCCCGGUACUGACGCUGAGGUGCGAAAGCGUGGGGAGCAAACAGG